GAACUGCGAUAAGUAAUGUGAAUUGCAGAAUUCAGUGAAUCAUCGAGUCUUUGAACGCACAUUGCGCCCCCUGGCAUUCCGGGGGGCAUGCCUGUCCGAGCGUCAUUGCUGCCCUUCAAGCCCGGCUUGUGUGUUGGGUCGUCGUCCCCCCCGGGGGACGGACCAGAAAGGCAGCGGCGGCACCGUGUCCGGUCCUCGAGCGUAUGGGGCUUUGUCACCCGCUCGAUUAGGACCGGCCGGGCGCCCGCCGGCGUCAAACCCCAAUCUUUCUAAGGUUGACCUCGGAUCAGGUAGGGAUACCCGCUGAACUUAAGC
RNAcentral lists this unclassified non-coding RNA (315 nucleotides) under plant metagenome. RNAcentral describes it as "partial contains 5.8S ribosomal RNA, internal transcribed spacer 2, and large subunit ribosomal RNA". The stretch from base 1 to 105 matches the Rfam family "5.8S ribosomal RNA", at positions 50 to 154 of the family's 154-position model. The record is from RNAcentral.